UACAGAGGGUGCAAGCGUUAAUCGGAAUUACUGGGCGUAAAGCGUGCGUAGACGGUUAUGUAAGUCAGGUGUGAAAGCCCCGGGCUCAACCUGGGAAUGGCAUUUGAGACUGCAUAGCUAGGGUGCGGAAGAGGGAAGCGGAAUUUCCGGUGUAGCGGUGAAAUGCGUAGAUAUCUGGAGGAACACCGGUGGCGAAGGCGGCAUCCUGGACCAAUACUGACGCUGAGGAGCGAAAGCGUGGGGAGCGAACAGG
Molecule: ribosomal RNA, 253 nt
Filed under: uncultured bacterium
Lineage: Bacteria
Description: partial 16S ribosomal RNA
Rfam family: Bacterial small subunit ribosomal RNA
Source: RNAcentral